This 345-nucleotide unclassified non-coding RNA is filed under the name soil metagenome. RNAcentral describes it as "partial contains 5.8S ribosomal RNA, internal transcribed spacer 2, and large subunit ribosomal RNA". The stretch from base 1 to 120 matches the Rfam family "5.8S ribosomal RNA", at positions 35 to 154 of the family's 154-position model. The record is from RNAcentral.
GAUGAAGAACGUAGUGAAAUGCGAUAAGUAAUGUGAAUUGCAGAAUUCAGUGAAUCAUCGAGUCUUUGAACGCACAUUGCGCCCCCUGGUAUUCCGGGGGGCAUGCCUGUCCGAGCGUCAUUGCUGCCCUCAAGCACGGCUUGUGUGUUGGGCCUCCGUCCUCCUCCCGGGGGACGGGCCCGAAAGGCAGCGGCGGCACCGCGUCCGGUCCUCGAGCGUAUGGGGCUUCGUCACCCGCUCUUGUAGGCCCGGCCGGCGCUUGCCGACACAUCAAUCUUUUUUCCAGGUUGACCUCGGAUCAGGUAGGGAUACCAGCUGAACUUAAGCAUAUCAAUAAGCGGAGGA